Molecule: ribosomal RNA, 538 nt
Filed under: Fusarium solani
Lineage: Eukaryota; Fungi; Ascomycota; Sordariomycetes; Hypocreales; Nectriaceae
Description: eukaryotic LSU rRNA
Rfam family: 5.8S ribosomal RNA (bases 153-306)
Source: RNAcentral
CGCCCCCGGCGGUACGACUCGUAGGUCUGCGGCAUACCUAAAACGUUGCUUCGGCGGGAACAGACGGCCCUGUAACAACGGGCCGCCCCCGCCAGAGGACCCCUAACUCUGUUUUUAUAAUGUUUUUCUGAGUAAACAAGCAAAUAAAUUAAAACUUUCAACAACGGAUCUCUUGGCUCUGGCAUCGAUGAAGAACGCAGCGAAAUGCGAUAAGUAAUGUGAAUUGCAGAAUUCAGUGAAUCAUCGAAUCUUUGAACGCACAUUGCGCCCGCCAGUAUUCUGGCGGGCAUGCCUGUUCGAGCGUCAUUACAACCCUCAGGCCCCGGGCCUGGCGUUGGGGAUCGGCGGAAGCCCCCUGUGGGCACACGCCGUCCCUCAAAUACAGUGGCGGUCCCGCCGCAGCUUCCAUUGCGUAGUAGCUAACACCUCGCAACUGGAGAGCGGCGCGGCCAUGCCGUAAAACACCCAACUUCUGAAUGUUGACCUCGAAUCAGGUAGGAAUACCCGCUGAACUUAAGCAUAUCAAUAAGCGGAGGAA